This 248-nucleotide long non-coding RNA is filed under the name Gossypium barbadense (sea-island cotton). Its description in RNAcentral is "long non-coding RNA (GBAR_LNC006416)". The record is from RNAcentral. Lineage: Eukaryota; Viridiplantae; Streptophyta; Magnoliopsida; Malvales; Malvaceae.
UUGAAAAUAUUUACAAAAAAAGCAUCUAGUUUUUAUUAUUUACGAAAAGAGCAACCAAAUUUUGAAAAUAAUUCAAUUAAGUCCCUAGACUUAAUGAAAUUUUGAAAUUGAGUUGCAAUUUAAAACUUAAGUCAAAAUUGACCUCUUUAUUUGAAAAACUAAUUUUUUUUCUAUUUAGGGAAUAAUUUCUCGAAAAAUUAUUUUAAAAUCAAUUCCUAGGAAAAAUUGGAGGGGUUACAAGCGGUCCC